This 253-nucleotide ribosomal RNA is filed under the name uncultured bacterium. RNAcentral describes it as "partial 16S ribosomal RNA". It matches the Rfam family "Bacterial small subunit ribosomal RNA", at positions 524 to 776 of the family's 1533-position model. The record is from RNAcentral.
GACGAACCGUGCGAAUGUUGUUCGGAAUCACUGGGCUUAAAGGGUGCGUAGGCGGGCGAUCAAGUCAGGGGUGAAAUCCUCCAGCUUAACUGGAGAACUGCCUUUGAUACUGGUCAUCUUGAGUAAGGUAGGGGCGUGCGGAACUGAUGGUGGAGCGGUGAAAUGUGUUGAUAUCAUCAGGAACUCCGGUGGCGAAAGCGGCGCGCUGGACCUUUACUGACGCUGAGGCACGAAAGCUAGGGGAGCGAACGGG